UACGAAGGUGGCAAGCGUUACUCGGAAUUACUAGGCGUAAAGGGCAGGUAGGUGGUUUGGUUAGUCUGUUGUGAAAGUUCCUUGCUUAACGGGGAGAGGCCAACAGAUACUGCCAGACUUGAGUAUGGGAGAGGUUACUGGAAUUCCCGGUGUAGCGGUGAAAUGCGCAGAGAUCGGGAGGAACACCAAUGGCGAAAGCAGGUAACUGGACCAUUACUGACACUCAGCUGCGAAAGCUAGGGGAGCAAACAGG
RNAcentral lists this ribosomal RNA (253 nucleotides) under uncultured bacterium. Its description in RNAcentral is "partial 16S ribosomal RNA". It matches the Rfam family "Bacterial small subunit ribosomal RNA", at positions 524 to 776 of the family's 1533-position model. The record is from RNAcentral.